RNAcentral lists this long non-coding RNA (13541 nucleotides) under Zea mays. RNAcentral's name for it is "long non-coding RNA (ZMAY_LNC001144)". Lineage: Eukaryota; Viridiplantae; Streptophyta; Magnoliopsida; Poales; Poaceae. The record is from RNAcentral.
GCCGAUGAAGCCCCUCGCUGCCCACACCUUGCUGCUACGGCCAAUCUCCUCCCCCUGUCCCCUGCGCGCGCACGAUGCCGUACCGCCGCCGCUGCCGUCUCGGCGUGCUGGAGAGGUCUCUCUAACGCCCGUCGCCGGAGUUCUUUGCCGCUGUGCACGUUCCAUCCUCGCCGGCGUCCGGCGAGCCUCCGUGUCUAGGUGAGAAAUCUUCCCCUCCAAUUCUCCCUCCGAUAGCCGUGCUCUUCUUCCUUCUCACCCGCGUAGCCCCUCUCCCCUUCCCUUGGCACACCAUCGCGGCAGCCUCGGUUAGCUACGCCGCCAUGGUCGUGCAGCCGCGCGCCCCAGUCGCAGCCUGCCUUCAUCACCGCUGGUGCUCGGCCGCCGUCGGCGAGCCCGGCCACCGGUGCCGCAGCCCUACGCGAUCUGCCCCUUCGCUGGCAACCUCCCUGGCCUAGAUGCUUGGCGCGUCCAUCUCUCCAGGAAGAAAAAGCCCAGCCGAAGACCAUGCGAGCCGUCUUCAGAAAAACGGAAAGAGAAAAAGGAACCGCUUGGCUCCCUCGUAUGUGCAUGGCUGCAUGCAGGAAAUUAAACGCUCUCCACUCCCACACCAAAUCCCACUCUUGAUUUUAUGUGGCAUCUCCGCAUGUGGCGCUUUGUGUGGCUUCAGUUCGACCAACCAGAUCGUGCCAUGUCACCUAUAAUCCGCGAAAUGUUAUUUAUUCAGUAUAUGAUGCGUUAUAAAUACGUUUUGGACCAUUCUAGUUACGCUAAUUCCAUAACAACGUCGUCUGCGUAUUAAAAUAUUAUUUUGUCAUAUCACAUAUUCUAAUUAGUUAUUUAAUCUCUUGUCUAUUUGAUGAUUAUUAAAGUAGAGUUGAAAUUAAAAUUAAUCUAUACUCUCACUUUGCGAUUUUAAAAUACAUGUUAAUAUUAUUAUAGCAAUUUAAAUGUUUUUGAAUAAGUACUUACUUAGUAUAGACGCGAUUUCUGCAAUGCUCGCGUGUCGCGUGUGUCCACACGACGUUCGUGCGUGCUGUCCACGAGCCGUCGUUCGCGCGAGUCGCGAUUCACGCGCUUUAAUAAAAUUGUUUAUUAGAUAUGAAUUGUUAGCUUUUUCAUAUAUAAUGCGCCAUAAACCCGUUUCUGUUCGUUUCAGUCGCUUUAACUUUGUAAACCUCGUCGCCAUCCUGUUAGUAACAUUAUUUCGUCGCGAGGCGUGUUCUAAUUAAUUAGUUGAUUAUUUAUUUAUCUGAGUUAUUAAAGUAGUAGCUUACUUAAACUAAUUUAUAGUUUUAGACACGCUUUAUUUAUAUCUGUUAAUAGGAUUAUAUCUACACAAAUGUUUUUAAAUUAAUGCUUAUUUAGUAUAAAACACGAUAUCUGAUAGCGAUUCUCGGGUGUUGCCGCGCGCUGAAUCAUGUGCCUUCCGCGCGUCACACUGUUUUGCGUGUAGUUCGUGCGAUGUUGCGUGUGCUUUUUCACACGCGUCAUCUGGGCGCUAAGUCGCAUUUGUCGCGCGUUGUCACACAUCAUUUGCGUGUGUCGCGCACGCUGUUUUCGCGUGUCGCGCACAAUGCUAUGUGUCGUUCGCAUGUAUCGCACGCCGUCCGCGCAUAUUAGUUAAUUGUUUCAUUAUAAUCGUUCACUUAUAAUCGCUCUGGUUAGGUAAUUAAUUAUUAGUUUAAUCGUCCACCAUUAAAACAGUAAUUUAGUGAAAACUGAAUUGUAGUUGUUAAUUUACAUUUGAUAAAUGUCAAUCAAUAUAAUUAUGUCGAACUAAUGUUCUAACAAUACUUGUUUAGUGUAAUCGCGUUAUUUGUUAGCGAUCAUCGCGCGUCGUCGCACUGUCUGCGCGCUAUUCGCGCGUGAUGUGCUCGUGGUGGCAUGCUGAUUCGCGCGUCAUUUGCGCCGGUCGCGCGCGAUGUUUCGUGUGUUGUCAGUGUGCUAUGUCGCGCGCGUCCGCGCAUCGUUUGCACGCUGUCGUGUUGGAUUCCCCUACGUCAUGUUGUCUGUGCGUGCCGCGCGUGGUGCGCGCUAGAUCGUGUGCGGUCGUACUGUUUCACGCGUCGUAAAUUCGACUCGCUUAGAAUCUCCCGUUUAAUUAAAAUUACUUAAUUAACUGACAUUUGUUAGUGUAGCAGAUUAAUCGAACUAAACGGUAUAUAAUAUUUAUAUUUGAUAAGGUCGAACUAAAAGCUAUAGUUAAUACUUGUUUAGUGAUAACGCGCUAAUCUCUCAACCGUAGCUUCGAGUUCGACAUUUCUUUUUCUCGCGUGACCGUAGUGUCGAGCUCUAUUUUAUGUUGCAUGUUUUUAUAACAUUUUAUCUUGUAUGGUGUAAUGUUCUUAUGCGUAUAUAUAUGUUUGUUUGUUUGUUCUUGUUUGUAUUCGCUAUGCGUCGCGAAUAGAUCGCGAUUCGUUUCCGAGCUUCGAGGAAUUGACGGUCAAACAUUGGUGACCAAGUGAGCAAGCUCUUCAAGUCCUACAAGAUUGAAGACCCUGAGCAUAUAUUUGGUGAAGGCAAGUGUCCUCUGACCCAUUAUGUCCCAUUUACUUUAUAAUACAGUCCCGCAUACUAUGAACAACCUAAGGAUUUACUAGCUUUCUAUUUACCUUGUCCUUGAUUUACCUUUUGGGUUACUAUGGUUAGCUUCAUGCUAGCGCUUUACUUUAAUCAAUGAACAUGAUGAGAUACAAUGAUGAUACUAUGAUUUUACUCUGGAUAUGAUGAUAUACUUGUGGCAUUUAGGGGACUCGAGCGGUUUCUCGAGUGCCUCUCCGUAAGGACCUGUUCGUUGAGAGACCACCCGGGAUAACAGUGCAACCAUGAGGGUGAAAUGGGGUGCCCUUAGCUAAUUAAUUAGAGGAACUAGAGGUGUAGUUGCUUCGCCGUCGUGCCGUCAAUGGGGUCCAGGCACAGUGCUUGCUCUGCCGAGGCUGGGUGCCGAGGUUCUUUCGUUUUGCUUUUGUUAGUCACCCUCCUGCGGGGAGAGGUACUGUGUUUAUCAAACUGGAGAAACCUAACGGGCGGCUAUGACCUCUAGGGAAUCUUUGUAAAGGCUACGUAGUGAUACCCUGCCGGACCACCUAGGAAGUGAUCAAUGGGGAGUCAUGAUCCCCGGGCAAAAUGGGAAUCACGGCUCAUGGGUAAAGUGUGCGACCUCUGCAGAGGGAAGGAAACUGAUAUAUCAGCCGUGCUCACGGUUAUGAGCGGCCUUGGGAUCCUCUUUGAUUAGAGAUACUUGAUCAGAGAUGGUUGGUUUACAGAUGACAAGGAUGAUGGUUAUGACUAUGGUAAUGGUAAGUGGUAUUCUUUCCGUUUGGAAAGGGUACUUUGGGUUAAUAACUUGGGUUAAUGUUAAAACCUGGCUCUCAAUGAGUAAUAAUAACCUGACCAACUAAAAGCAACUGCUUGACCUUAACCCCAAAUAAAGCUAGUCCACUACAGCCAAACGGGACAUUUGCUGAGUACGUUGAUGUGUACUCACCCUUGCUUUCACAAAACACCAGGUUGCCUUUGGUGCAAUCUAUGCUCAGGUAAAGAAGAAGGCGUCGAGGUGAAUCUCCAGGAGUUCCAGGACUUCGGCGAGUUCGAGGAUUAGGCUAGCGAUCUCCCCCAGUCAGCUGUCUGUGGUGGGUUUAUUUACGUUGGCUACGUUUCUGUUAUGUGUACUUUGAUUAUAUUAUGUAAAUGACUCUAGUCUUUCAUAUUAUUACUUAUCUUUAUUGUUAUUCGAAGCAUUGUGCUAUGAUGAGUCAUUUAUGUAAUCGCUAUGUACGUGAAUUUCUGAUCCUGGCACGUACAUGGUUCGCAUUCGGUUUACCUUCAAAACCGGGUGUGACAGUUGCCGGCAUGACGUUUCACGUCUGGCACCUCCUUAGAGAGGCUUUCCAGGUCGGCGAUGAGGGCCUCGGACUCGGCGAGGGCCUCGGCGUACUCCACCCACUCCACGUCGCAUUCGAACGCGUGUUUGUACGUGGGGCCGACGGUGAUGACCCCGUUGGGGCCCGGCAUCUUGAGCUUUAGGUAGGUGUAGUUGGGGACGGCCAUGAACUUCUCGUAGCAUGGCCUUCCCAGUACCGCGUGGUAGGUUCCUCGGAACCCGACCACCUCGAACGUCAGGGUCUCCCUUUGGAAGUUGGAGGGUGUUCCGAAACAGACGGGAAGGUCGAGUUGUCCGAGGGGCUGGACGCGCUUCCCGGGAAUGAUCCCAUGGAAGGGCGCAGCGCCUGCUCGGACGGAGGACAGAUCGACACGGAGGAGCCUGAGGGUCUCGACGUAGAUGAUGUUGAGGCUGCUGCCUCCAUCCAUAAGGACCUUGGUGAGCCUGACGUCGCCGAUGACGGGGUCGACGACGAGCGGGUAUUUCCCCGGGCUCGGCACGUGGUCGGGGUGGUCGGCUUGGUCGAAGGUGAUGGGCUUGUCGGACCAGUCCAGGUAGACUGGCGCCGCCACCUUCACCGAGCAGACCUCCCGGCGCUCUUGUUUGCCGUGCCGAGCCGAGGCAUUCGCCGCUUGCCCAUCGUAGAUCAUGAAGCAGUCGCGGACCUCGGGGAACUCUCCUGCUUGGUGAUCUUCCUUCUUGUCGUCGUCGCGGGCCCUGCCACCCUCCGCGGGUGGCCCGGCCCUGUGGAAGUGGCGCCGAAGCAUGACACACUCCUCAAGGGUGUGCUUGACGGGCCCCUGGUGAUAGGGGCACGGCUCCUUGAGCAUCUUGUCGAAGAGGUUGGCACCUCCGGGGGGUUUCCGAGGGUUCUUGUACUCGGCGGCGGCGACAAUGUCCGUGUCGGCGGCGUCGUGUUUCGCUUGCGACUUCUUCUUGCCUUUCUUCUUGGCGCCGCGCUGAGUCGACGCCUCGGGAGCAUCUUCCGAUGGGCGGCCCUGGGGCUGCUUGUCCUUUCGGAAGAUGGCCUCGACCGCUUCCUGGCCGGAGGCGAACUUGGUGGCGAUGUCCAUCAGCUCGCUCGGCCUGGUGGGGGUCUUGUGACCCAACUUGCUCACCAGGUCGCGGCAGGUGGUGCCGGCGAGGAACGCGUCGAUGACAUCCGAGUCGGUGAUGUUGGGCAGCUCGGUGCGCUGCUUCGAGAAUCACCGGAUGUAGUCCUGGAGAGACUCUCCCGGCUGCUGCCGGCAGCUUCGGAGGUCCCAGGAAUUCCCGGGGCGCACGUACGUGCCCUGGAAAUUGCCGGCGAAAGCUUGAACUAGGUCGUCCCAGUUGGAGAUCUGCCCUGGAGGCAGGUGCUCCAACCAGGCGCGAGUGGUGUCGGAGAGGAACAGGGGGAGGUUGCGGAUGAUGAGGUUGUCAUCGUCCGUUCCACCCAGUUGGCAGGCCAGACGGUAGUCCGCGAGCCACAGUUCCGGUCUCGUCUCCCCCGAGUACUUUGUGAUAGUAGUCGGGGGUCGGAACCGGGUUGGGAACGGUGCCCGUCGGAUGGCCCGGCUGAAGGCCUGCGGACCGGGUGGUUCGGGCGAGGGACUCCGAUCCUCCCCGCUGUCGUAGCGUCCCCCAUGCCUGGGGUGGUAGCCUCGGCGCACCCUCUCGUCGAGGUGGGCCCGACGGUCGCGGUGAUGGUGCUUGUUGCCGAGGCGGCCCGGGGCCGCAGGCGCGGUGUUGCGCGUGCGCCCGGUGUAGACCGAGGCUUCUCGCAUGAAUCGGGAAGUCGCGGCAUGAGGUUCCGAGGGGUACCCCUGCCUUCGGGAGGCAGAGCUCUCGGCCCGUCGGACUGCGGCGCCUUCCAGGAGAUUCUUGAGCUCCCCCUGGAUGCACCGGCCCUCGGUGGUUGAUGGCUCCGGCAUCGCGCGGAGAAGCAUCGCUGCUGCAGCCAGGUUCUGGCCGACCCCACUAGAUGCGGGUGGUGGCCUGACCCUGACGUCGUCGGCGACACGGUGCUGGAAACCCUGAGGCAGAUGACGUAUUUCUCCGGCCGGGGGUUGGCCCGCCCAUGCCUGCCCGACGUCCCGGCGGAUCGGCUCAAGCGCUCCUGCUCCCUCGUCGAGCCUGGCCUGCACACCGCGGAUUUGCUCGAGCUUUGGGUCAUGGCCCCCCGCCUGAACGGAGACCACAGCUAGCUCCCGUGGGAUGUCAACGCGGGGCACCGGCCUAGGGAGAUCACCGUCCUCCGGCAUGCCGAGAUGAUUGCCUUCGGAGGGACCCCCUAGAUCGACGUGGAAACAUUCGCGGCUUGGGCCGCAUUCCUCGUCGCCGAGGCUGCGGCUACCGUCGGAACAGUCGGAGAGGCAGUAGUCACACGUGGUCAUGAAGUCCUGCAUGGCACCGGGGUUGCCAAGUCCAGAGAAAUCCCAACAGAUGCUGGGCUCGUCGUCUUCCUAGGACCCAGAGGGCCCGUAGGUCGAGACGUCCGUCAGCUGGUCCCAAGGCGACCGCAUGCGAAACCUCAGAGGGUUUGGACUCGCCUCUACGAGAUCGCCCGCCAAGGCAAGGUCGCUAGGCGGGUUGAGGCUGAACCCAGAUGACGUGGGAUGGGAAUCGGUCGGUACCUCUUGGUCGACGAGUGGCGAUAAAGUCACGUCGGGGACUGACUGCACCGUCAUCUCAGGUACGAGGGUGACGUCCAGCAAGCUUUUUGCGAGCGCGCUGGCGUCAUCCGCUUGCUCGGGAUUGACGCGUCGAGGGGAGACAGCGCUCGUCUUCGUCUCAAGCGCGAAGUCGAUACCCGGUGCGCCCCUCGUUGGGGUGCCGGCGCUGUCGACUCGCUCGACAGCCGACGAGGUGCUGCCUCCUGCUUGGCCUUGGUCGCCCUGCCUUCCCCUCCGUCGGCGGGGGAAAGGGCAGGAUGAGCUCGAAGGGUGUUCUUCCACCACGCGGGGAAGACGUCGUCGAUUCCGCCGCCGGCGGGCGGGCUGUCGGCCGCCAUUGUCAUUGUCGCGCGGCGAUGGAAGGAGUAUCAUGUCGUAGCUGCCGUCGAGGGACAUGAACUCAAGACUCCCGAAACGGAGCACCGUCCCGGGUUGGAGAGGUUGCUGGAGACUGCCCAUCUGGAGCUUGACGGGAAGCUGUUCGUCAACACGCAGCAGGACCAUACCUGGCGCGCCAACUGUCGGCGUUUUGAGACCGGGGGGUCCCUGGGCCGACGAGUGAAUGUCGCCGCGUGCCCCAGCCCAGACGGGUCGAGCGCGAGGGCGAGCGCGAAGGGGGGAGAGCGAGGCGGCCGGAGACCGGCGUGAGAGAGGUGGGAAUCCCGCGGCCUUCGUGUUCGUCCCGCGCCCAGGUCGGGUGUGCUUGCAGUAGGGGGUUACAAGCGUCCACGCGGGAGAGGGAGCGAGCGGCUUCAAGCGAGCGCCUGUCCCGUCCUCGUCCCCGCGCGGCCAACCCUCUCUAAGAGGUCCCUGGUCCUUCCUUUUAUAGGCGUAAGGAGAGGAUCCAGGCGUACAAUGGGGGUGUAGCAGAGUGCUACGUGUUUAGCGGAGGAGAGCUAGCGCCCUAAGUACAUGCCGUUGUGGCAGCCGGAGAGAAUUUGGCACCCAGCUGGUGUGAUGUCGUGGCCAUCGGAGGAGCGAUGGAGCCUGGCGGAGGGACAGCUGUCGGAGCGGUUGAGUCCUUGCUGACGUCCUCUUGCUUCCGUAAGGGGGCUGAGAGCCACCGUCGUCACAGAGUACGCGGGGCGCCAUCAUUGCCUAUCUGGCGGAGCUAGCCAGAUGGGACGCCGGUCUUGUUCCCUGCGGCCCGAGUCAGCUCGGGGUAGGGUGAUGAUGGCGCCUCCUGUUGACGUGGCUGGUCUACGCCCUAGGUUGGGCGAUGUGGAAGCUCCUCCGAAGUCGAGGUCGAGUCUGUCUUCCGUGGUCGAGGUCGAGUCCGAGCCCCUGGGUCGGGCGAGGCGGAGUUCGUCGUCUCCUAGGGCUGAGCCCAAGUCCGAGCCCUGGGUCGGGCGGAGCGGAGUUCGACGUCUUCCGGGACUUAGCCCGAGUCCGAGCCCUGGGUCGGGCGGAGUGGAGUUCGCCGUCUUCCGGGGCUGAGCCCGAGUCCGAGCCCUAGGUCGGGCGGAGCGGAGUUCGCCGUCUUUCGGGACUUAGCCCGAGUUCGAGCCCUGGGUCGGGCGAAGCGGAGUUCGCCGUCUUCCGGGACUUAGCCCAAGUCCGAGCCCUGGGUCGGGCGGAGCGGAGUUCGCCGUCUUCCGGGACUUAGCCUGAGUCCGAGCCCUGGGUCGGGCGAAGCGGAGCUUCCUAUGGUGCCUUCGGCAGGGCCUGACUGCCUGUCAGUCUCACUCUGUCAAGUGGCACCGCAGUCGGAGUGGCGCAGGCGGCGCUGUCCUUCUGUCGGGCCGGUCAGUGGGGCGGCGAAGUGACGGCGGUCACUUCGGCUCUGCCAGCCGGGGGGCGCGCGUCAGGAUAAAGGUGUCAGGCCACCUUUGCAUUAAAUGCUCCUGCGAUUUGGUCGGUCGGUGUGGCGAUUUAGUCAGGGUUGCUUCUUAGCGAAGGCAGGGCCUCGGGCGAGCCGGAAAUAUGUUCGCCGCUGGAGGGGGGUCUCGGGCGAGACGGAAAUCCUCCGGGGUCGGCUGCCCUUAUCCGAGGCUAGGCUCGGGCGAGGCGUGAUCGAGUCGCUCGAAUGGACUGAUCCCUGGCUUAAUCGCACCCAUCAGGCCUUUGUAGCUUUAUGCUGAUGGGGGUUACCAGCUGAGAAUUAGGAGCCUUGAGGGUACCCCUAAUUAUGGUCCCCGACAAGUAGGUACUAAUUCUAUGUUGUUCAAGUUGUGCAUAUUAUCAUGUUUUUCAUAUGCAUACAUAUAGACAAUAAUAUGAGUACGUAUAGACUCCAGAACCUGGUAUAUAUCUAAUAAUUCGGCCAACCAAAUACCUAGAUUCUAAUCAGCAAAUUCUCUCCACAGCCAAGUUAUCAAACACCCAGAUUCUUAUCAGUCAACUUCUUUUCACAACUAGCUUCUCUCCAUAGCCAACUUCUCAGAAAAAAGCUCGUUGAAAAAAAGCCUUAAAAUUAUUUGAUACAAUAGGAUAAGGAUUAUUGGAUAUUUUAUAAAGAAAAAUGUUAGCUUUAAAAUAGAUAGUAUGAUUCAACAAUAUGAUAAUGGAUCAAAUAUGAAAGGGUCUAUUUUAGAUAUUGUUUAUCUAUAUAUAUUAUAUGUUAAGGGGCCUAUUUUUGUUUUGCACCAGACCCACUAAAUUUUAGAGACAGUCCCGGACGCUGACUCAUCUAGUAGCUCUGAUAUCGCUCGUCGUGACGGUACAACCCGUCCCGAGGGGUCGACCCUGCCCCUCCAGCGCCCCACCCUUAGAGGAGAUAGGCACAACUUUGAUUUAGUGAGCAAGAAUUUAGUGUUUGUUUCCUUAUUUUGUUCAUAUAUUUUUUAUUUAAACUUCUAUCGUGUAUUGAUAUGAAACUUGAAUUCAAUACAAAAGUAGCUUUUUACAGACUUAUUUGAUUUUGUCAUGCAAUCUUUUUGGCCCCCUAUGAAUUUUGGUUCUGCGUCCACCAUUGUCUACAGACGAUGACGCCCUCGGUGUCGCCAAACUUUGGAGGCGUCGUCAGGGAGCCCCUUCCCCCAAUCCUCUAAGCGUCAUCUUGUAGGGUUCAUGCUACAUUCGUGAAUUUGCCCCGUCAUAUUCUUGCAUGUCUCUUGUGUCAUGUGUGCUUGGCAUUGGCGUCUCGGCCAAGGGCAAAGGUAGGCAAUUAAAAGUGGAUGCACAUGCACCCAUGAAAAUUUAUAAAAUUAGUGAAAUAGAUUAGAUUUUUACCAUAUAUGCAUCACUAUAAGAUAUUACUAUGCACCCUCAAGGCAUUUGCACCCUCUCUGAUUUGCUCUAGUUUUGCGAUAAGUGCCUCCCUUUGGCGCCUCUGUUCCAUCGAUACUCUCCUUGUUAACAGGAGGAGCACGUAAAUCUUAUGAUGGGUUGGUGAAUCCGCCUCUUCUGCUAUUCCCCUACAAGGAUCUCCCAUCGUGAGGUGCUGGAUGGUGGCAAGCGGAACCCGAAUGCGCCUCGUGUGUUUUCUGUUUGCUCGAAGAGAGAUCGUCUUUUUUUAUAUGUUGUGGUUGUUGUACCUCCUAUCUCCUUUAGUCUCCAUUCAUGUUGCAUGGCAGAUGGUCAUAAGACAUCAAGACGUGCGUAGUACGAGGCAAGGUCUAGAUGUGCAAUGGGUUAGAUGUGUCAAUGAGUAUAUAUGUUGGUUUUAGUGAGGUUGCUAGUCGCUGUGCGACAAUCGUCGUUUCGGACGUUGCGUCGUGUUGUGCUUACUUUCUUUGUUUCCUCUAUGUUGUUGAAGUAUGUAAUACCCAAUUCGUAAAAAUAAGAAAGAAGUUGAUCUCAUUAUAUCUUUUGUCCUCUAUUUAUUAGAACAUGUGAACAACCACAUUUAAAGUGAUUAAUUAGCUAAUGACACCUAAGUAAUAUAUGCAUCAUGUUGGAGUUUAUUUGUGUGUGCAUUGGAUAAUAAUAAUAAUAGUAAUAAAAAUAUGAUAAUGAUGAUAUUGGGAUUAGAACCUAAUUUGCAAUUUUGAAUUUAGAGAAAGAAAAGAAAAAAAUACUAUACAAUACAAAGAAAAUACAGAUAUAAAUAAAUAAAACGUUUCAUACAGAUAAUUGAGUUUGUGUAUUUUAUCUGAGUAAGAAUUUGGCAACAAAAUUUGAAAUCAAAAAAUAAAGAUAAAAGAAAACAGAAAAUAAAAAGACCCAAGCCUACGGCUGGGCCAAAAGCACCGGCCGACCCAACUGCCUAACCCUCCGCUACGGCCUAGCUAACCUGACGGGAUAACACGCUUCCACCACCGACACCGACUGGUGGGCCCUGCUUGCCUAGUUCAGUCAUGCACUAUCAGAUGGGCCAGGUCUGUCAGCGCCUCUGUCAUCCGUUGCCCAAGCUCUCUGUCGACCGGGCCCUGCACGUCAUCCACCAGCUACGACCGGGUCUCUGUGUCCGCGUCGCCGGGAGUUGUGGGCGCCGCAGCCAUCGCUCCGUAGCUCCCGCUGGUGUAACCGUCGGGCGUGAUCCUUGCGUAGUUAGCCUCGCCGCAGGAUAAGUGGGCGACCCUUUCCCUCCUUCCUCUCAUCAUAGUCCUCAAAUCACCUCGGAAAGUUGGACACCGCCACUACCACACGGAGCCAUUGUCGCUGCCGCCUGCCUAAUUCGUGACCGAGCGUGCGUGUGCGGCUCUGGAGUCUUCGAGUUGCUCUGGUAGCGUGUCGUUUCCCUAACCGUAGGAAGCGAACAAGCAUGGUCAGUCGAAGCGCAUCAACGGUGCGGGAUUUUGGCCGAGGUCGCGCAUCGCCGGGGGCGGGAGCCUCCUCGCUGCCUUAACCAGGUAAACCUCGUCCCGAUCUGCAAUUAGAAGCCUCGCCUUGUGUAGCACUGAUAAGCACCCGUAAUCGUGACCCUAGAUAGCGGGAAUUCCUCAUCGGCGCUCGACCAUUGUCGCGGUGCCACGGUGUCGCGUGAACCGAGUUGUUGCCACACUAAUCUGGGGUAACCAGUCGUGCCCCUAAUCCGUAUAGGCCUCCGUAAUGAUUUCUAGCAUUAUCGGGGGAAAUUUGGUGUCGGGACGUCGGCGGGCCGCGCGCAAAAGUGGCGCCGCCGUGGGCGCGUGAUUCACCGUCGUCGCCGACAUCGAUUUGGGUAGGAUCGAUUCGGAUCGUUGGAUUGAGAAGGGGCGGUCAGGAUUAGAUCUUCGAAUACCCUUUUGGCUUAAUCGGAUUUGAGCAUUGAUCUGAUGAUAAAUGGCCCUGAUCGCUUGUGUAUUCGCGGUUGAUGCGGACCGCUGAUCUGCGAUCCGAUGAUCCAUAAAGUGUAUCGUUUCGUCGCCCUUGCAAUUUAAUCUGAACCACUCACUUAGGACCGAACAGCCGAGAUCUACUCAAACCCCUUCGGCCAGUGUAUUUUGCAAAAGAAACCUUGUGGUUUCACAGAAUCAACCCGCCAUCCUCGCACUAUUAUAGGAAUUAUAAACCAGGCCCUGAAUCUUUGCGCUGCAACCCCUGUAGUACUUCUAAAUUGUGUGCGCAGUCCAGUAAACCAGUGAAUGAGAUAGAAAAUUAUAGAAAAUGAUUUUUAGUAUUGAAAUAAUUCCAUAAACUUGUUUAAAUCCUAGAAAAAUCAUUUUAACUCCUUUUUAAUCCAUACCAGUCGCAAUAAUUUUGUUUUAAUAUUGUUGAUCACUUGGUAACUCUAUUUUAGCAUGAAACCUACAUUAAAAUUAAUCACUUGGCUACUUUUGUACCACACACAUAAAACCUUCAAAAAAUCAUAACUUCUUAUCCGUAAGUCCGAAUUUAGUGAUUCUCGGACUUAAGAUCUCACUACGAUGUGUAGAAUAUUAUCAUGCAUUAUAUCUCUCUGUUUGGUGUGAUGAAUAUUUUUCCCUUGUACCAUGUUUAUUUCAAUUGUGGCGAGUAGACGAGCAAGCGAUUGAGGAUCUAGGUGUUCAGCAGGUAGAAGUUGCUGAGCAGGAGCUCAUUGAAGGCAAAUUGUGCCUUUGACCAAAUUAUUUACCCAAAAAUGUUCUCUAUAAUCAUUUUGGCAUGCAUAUGCUUAAUUUUGAUGGGACCCAAUAGGUCACUCUAGUUUGGUCAUCUUUACACCUUGUUUACCCCUGAACUUUUGGGUAGACUUCGCUUUUGCUAUAUAUGGUUUUGGGUGUUGAGAUAACUAUUACACAUGGUCAUUCUUUAUUAUUAUGGUUCUAUUCUGUUCAUGAUAAGACUAUUAUGUUAAUUGGAACAUGGAGCUUAACUUGAGAAACACGUGCCACCACAAGGGUGGAAUGGGACGCCCUUGGCUGACUAAUUAUGAAAGCUAGUGGAGGACUACCUUACCCGAAAGGGCAAGGGCAGUAGGGGAGUUGGCGUGUAGGGAGGUUCUCGGGUUGAUUUUGCUGCGAUGGCGGUCAGACGGAGGAUUCCUGCAUUGCGCUCCCUAGAAAAUGUAGCGGGUUUUUUUGAAGCUAGUGGAACUUUAUAAAGGCCUCGUAGUGUUACCUUGCCUCGCUUCCUUGGUAGAGGUGUAUGGGGCCCGUACAACCCUGUGGUCAAUGGGUAAAGGAUACAACCUCUGCAGAGUGUAAAACUGGUAUACUAGUUGUGCUCACGGUCAUGAGCAACUCAGGACUCUCGCAUGAUUAAUUUAUGGAAUUAAAUUCAAUUUGUCAUUUGCAUCUCAUUGUGGUUUAUUAUUAAUUUUGAUCUAUUAUUACUCUGAUUUGGUAUCUACUUACAUUUAGUAACUGCUAAUAAAACUUGACCAACUUAUUAAAAGCAAUGCUCAGCUUUAACCCUUAUUUGUUGAUCAGCCUUACACCUCACAUGAACUCCCACCAUUGGCGAGUUCAUGCACAUUAUUCCCCACAACUUGUUGAGCUAUGAUCUUUUGUGAGCUCACCCUUGUGAUAUAUAACCCCCCACAGGAGAAGAACAGGUGGUCCAGGAGGAGCCUUACAACGAGAAGUACGAGCUUAUCUAGGUGGCGUCUCUCAGUCAGCUUUACGGCACCAAAGAUUAAUGUUUAGUUCGCUUUAUUGUUAUCAUUUAUUUUUGUAAGACUUCCGCUAUGUAAUAAUGAUAUUUGUGAUAUUUAUCUCUAU